GUAUGGAGGAAUGGAUAUAUAGAGGGGUACAUGGAUGCGUGGAUACAUGGAAUGGCUUCUGGCCAGAGGACGCCUACGUUUCCCGAAGGAGAUGCCCUCAGGCUGGGCUUGAAGGAACAGAAGGGCUCCAAGCGGAGGGCACCGCCUGGGCAAAGGCACAGAGUGGGAAAGCUCUCCUGGGAGCAAAGGGCUGGAGCGUCCCUGGCCAGGGGGAGGUGUGACUUCCAGUGGCAGAGGCUGGGCGGGGUGAGGUGUCUAACACAGCGAUUCCACAUGUGUAUGCCUUAUGAAGUGAUCACCACAAUGAGUCUGGCAACCACCUUUCACCGUAUAAAGUUAUUAUGAUAUUGUUGACACUAUUCCCUAUGUUGUACAUUAUAUCCCUGUGACUGAUUUAUUUUAUAACUGGAA
Molecule: long non-coding RNA, 411 nt
Organism: Myotis lucifugus (little brown bat)
Lineage: Eukaryota; Metazoa; Chordata; Mammalia; Chiroptera; Vespertilionidae
Exons: 3
Source: RefSeq, a predicted model, not a curated record